This is a non-coding RNA of Trichonephila clavipes, 82 nucleotides long. The record is from the annotation of a GenBank genome assembly. NCBI's taxonomy places the organism in Eukaryota, Metazoa, Arthropoda, Arachnida, Araneae, Nephilidae.
GUAGUUGUGGCCGAGUGUUUACGGCGAUGGACUAGAAAUCCAUUGGGACUUUUCCGCGUAGUUUCGAAUUCUAACGACUACG